RNAcentral lists this ribosomal RNA (626 nucleotides) under uncultured Russulaceae. Its description in RNAcentral is "LSU rRNA". It matches the Rfam family "Eukaryotic large subunit ribosomal RNA", at positions 47 to 649 of the family's 3401-position model. The record is from RNAcentral. Lineage: Eukaryota; Fungi; Basidiomycota; Agaricomycetes; Russulales; Russulaceae.
UAAGCGGAGGAAANGAACUACAAGGAUUCCCCUAGUAACUGCGAGUGAAGCGGGAAAAGCUCAAAUUUAAAAUCUGGUGGUCUUUGGCCAUNCGAGUUGUAAUUUAGAGAAGCGUCUUCCGCGCUGGACCGUGCACAAGUCUCCUGGAAUGGAGCGUCAUAGAGGGUGAGAAUCCCGUCUUUGGCAUGGACACACCAGGGCUUUUGUGAUGCGCUCUCGAAGAGUCGAGUUGUUUGGGAAUGCAGCUCAAAAUGGGUGGUGAACUCCAUCUAAAGCUAAAUAUUGGCGAGAGACCGAUAGCGAACAAGUACCGUGAGGGAAAGAUGAAAAGCACUUUGGAAAGAGAGUGAAACAGUACGUGAAAUUGUUGAAAGGGGAACGCUUGAAGUCAGUCACGUCGACCGAGACUCAGCCUUGCCUCGGCUUGGUGUACUUCUCGGCUGACGGGUCAGCAUCAAUUUUGCCCCUUGGAUAAUGGCGAGGGAAAUGUGACACCUUUAUGGUGUGUUAUAGUCUCUCGUCGCAUGCAAGGGUUGGGAUUGAGGAACUCAGCACGCGCCCUUUGGGUGUCGGGGCUUUGCCCACGAUACGUGCUUAGGAUGUUGGCAUAAUGGCUUUAAACGACC